RNAcentral lists this long non-coding RNA (214 nucleotides) under Elaeis guineensis (African oil palm). RNAcentral describes it as "long non-coding RNA (EGUI_LNC048011)". The record is from RNAcentral. Lineage: Eukaryota; Viridiplantae; Streptophyta; Magnoliopsida; Arecales; Arecaceae.
GUCGAGUCAAUAUCCUGUCAAAAAUCAUAGUAGACUUGUUGUGAUAUCUAUAAGGCUUGCUAUGGAGAUUGAUGUGGGUUUGUCUUGGUGCAUAUUAGAUGCUUUACGAUAUAUUUUGGAUAUAUUGCUUUGUUGUGUAUCCACAAGGAUAGUAUUUUUCAGAUAUGGCUGUAUGGAAAUAAAGAGUCUGACUUAACUAAAAAUACUAUAGUUU